UGGAUUGUGCAAUAGUGUAGAUAUCAUGCUGGUUGCUGCAACGCAGUAAGGAAGUGUGUGUGCUUUGCCUCUAUGCAAAGCAGAAACCUCUACAGCAAGUAACACCGGAGAGCUGCCUAGGGUGUUUGAUCUGGAGACACUUUGGAUUAAAAUUAGAUUUAGAGUCUUAGAUUAUUAGAUUUAGGCUUAGAUUAGAUGUACAGUCUUCUGAAUGGAGAAGGCAAGAAAAAUAAUCUUUGGGAAGCAGCAAAUGCAACGCUUAGAUGCAUGAUCUAAAGAGACAAUGGUACCAAAUCCCCUCACUAGGAGCAAGAGGAAAGCAUCUUUGAGGGAACGGGGUUCCCAGCUGUAUUUCAGACAUUUGCUCUCACAGAAAUGUUCCUCUCAUCCUGUCAUUGAACCAACUGUUUCUGGAGUACACUUCUUCUCAGGUCCUCCCCAUGAUUUAGGGGAUGUCACGCUGGGGCUGCAGGGCGCCUCUUUUCUGGGUGAUUCAGUCAGAAAAAUGAGAAGGGCACCAACGCAGAGCUUGUCCAGGCUGGGGUGCUUCUGAGUGAAAAGACAUUUCUUCUGUUGUGAAUGAAGAAUGGCCAAGUCUUACAAAUCGCUGAAGGCUACAUCCACGGUGUAGUCUAAUCAUGGUGUGUAUAAAGCUGGGUGGAUACGUUCAUCUACUUGCACUUAGCUGAUGUGUAAGGAGGAGAAAAGGUCAUUAAGGAAGCCUUAUCAUUUCAGUGUACAACAGCAUGAAUCAGGUAGCCAUUUCGUGUUUUGGUGUUGCUUAUACUGCUUCUGAAGGCAGAUUGCAGGGAAAGCUACCUGGAAGAUGGCCUGCGUUCCUCUUUGCUACCUACCAAGCUGUUCAGCCGUGUUCUCAUCCAGUUCUGGGAGGUGGUGAGAAUCCCUCACUGGAAGUGAAAAUCACUUUUGUUACCCAAAGUCCAUCACAAGCUUCAACAGCACAUCAGAUUCAGUCAGGAAAAAGAAAACUUUUGCUUGGUGCUGUGCAACCUAUACAUAUAUAUAUAUAUAUAUAUAUAUAUAUAUAUAUAUAAAGGGAAAAAAAAGGGAAGAUUAACCUAUAUAUAUAAUCCUCCCUUUCAUUUAAAAUAAACAAACAAAUAAAUAAAUAAUGCUUUAGUCUUCCAAAUCAAAAUAGGGAAAAUUAAAAUAAGGACAAAAAUAAAGGUUUCAGAAUCAGUAAACCAGUCAAUCUUUAACAUAAUUCUCUCUCUCUCUCUCUCUUUUUUUUUUUUUUUUUUAAUUGGUAGUACCCUUUUGUUACACCCCUAUAGAUUCUGAAUAUCAGAUCUUUUUUAUUUUGAUGUAUCGAUAAAUAUUUUCUUUCUACUCACUCUCUAAAAAUUUGGGGCACUACUCCAUUCUGAAGAGGCACCCUAAGUAAUCCUAUUAUUGUGUAAAUCAGUCAAUGACUCCAUUAGUAACUGCAUUCAAAAAAGUACAGGCAGUAUAGGAUUUAUCCUGACAUUUGUCACCGAAAUAACUUGCCUAAUUUCAUUCUGAGCAUGCAAAGCUGAAGCAAAUAAACCUAAUCAUCUUAGCACGGGAAGGGAUCUGGCAGAGAAGUAGAAGCAGCGGCUGUACCAGUUCCAUUUUUUCCUGGAAGCGAGUGGGAACAAGCCAUCGCAGAAGGGAAGGACACCACCACCACCAGGCACACGCAGGGGCACACAGGCAUCCAAGAGCCACACAGCACUCCUGCAGAAGCCGAAUAACAGCUUGACAGAAGUGGGGGCUUCCAAACGAAGCAGACAAACUUCAAAGUGGAAGAAAGAACACCAAGCAAUGCUACACGAUGUGAAGAGACUGAUUGCUGCAACUCCUUGACUAAGAUUCUCACUCUUCAAACUUCUUUGGAAGGAGCAGAAGCACAAGUCUAAAGGGAAGAGCCUGAUCAUUCCUCUAGCCUGGCUUACGAGCUGUUUACCUCUGAUACACUAAAGGUUGGGUCCCACUGAGCCUGCUGCUGGGUAAACAGAGCGUGUAUCACUAGCCCUGCCCUGAAUUAUGAGCAUCCUAAUGAGAAGGCAAGCAAGAGGUAAAAUCCCGCAAAGAUUCUGCACCAAUUUCUUCUGUACUGCAUCAGCCCUCUUCAUGAAGGACUUGGAAACCGGAGCGGCAAACCACGCUAUCUAAUUGACACCUUGAGAGGCUCCCUCAAAGGACUUAGCUCACUUGGAUGGUGUGUGGAUCAGCUUCUCUCCAGAAGCCAGCAGAAGACCAAAGGUGCAGCCUGCAAUGCUAGUGCAAGUCACAGUGAAUUGCCAGGUUUAAUUAGGACCAUUACUUCUUGAGCCACAGUUGCUAGAGAAGUCCUUGUACCGCCGGAGAAGUGCAAAGAUGACUGUCCUAAUCAAGUACUUGUGGAGUAAGAAAUGAUUUUUUUUUUCUUCCCCAGCACACUAAACAAAGAAGGACCCAAGUUGUAUUGUAUUCGUAUAAACACAGCACAUCUGAGCAUGUACACAUAGCAUUUUACAAGGAACUGAAAAGGUUUAAUAGGAGAAUUACAUGAAAGUCAACAAUGUAACGAAUUAUUUCAAGUAAAUAGAAGCUAAGUCAGAUGGAGAAGGGGAUAUUUUCCCAUUACAUAAAACAUAGUUUAGAAGAUCUUUUAGCUGCCAGCUAGAAAUUAAUGUCAAAAAAAAAAAAAAAAAAAAAAAAAAAAAAAAAAAAGAGAAAGCUUAAAAUGAUAUGGUAAUGAGUUUGUUCCUGUGAAUUAGGAUUGAUAUAGCAAUCGCUUGACAUAUCUGGAUGACAAAAAUAAGAAGUAAAUGUAGCAAAAAUGUGUAAACUAAUGACUUACUGUAAUGACAGUACAAUUUAGAAGAUAAUUACAAGAGCUGACAACUGGCAGUAACUACAUGUAUUGCUUAAAAUGACUUAACAGUAAAUGUUAGGGAAAAGUCAUAAUUUUUUACUAGUUAAGAUGGCAAGAAAAGAGCAAAGGUGACGCUAAAUUGCUCACUGAAAGGAUUAAGCACAUUCUGAAGCAUUCAUUCCUCUGUAUUUCAUAAUAAGCACAAUUUCUGACUUACGGACGUGUGAAUUAAAACACAGAAAUGUAAGCAAUUAUGCCAGAUGAGACCCAGUGAAGACAGGGCAAUUUGGAACCAAUAUUUCUCUGUCUUGUUUUGGUACUAAAUCAGUUUACACGGAAUAUUGUGUUCUUGGAUAUUGCAUAAGAGAACAAUGACUUGAAGACUACACAGUGAUUUUCUGGCAAAUGUUAAAAACUGAUCUAAUCAAAAAAAAACAAAACAUUGUAAGCGUUGGGUAUUUGAUUCAUAAAAGAAAACUUUUUAAACAGGUGAGCUUAAAUCAAAAAGGGAUUCCUGCAAUGAGCUUGAAAAUGUGAAAUUAGAAAGCAGAAAAACAGACCAGUUUGGGGUGGUGGUGUUGUAAGUAUUAUUUCUAUUCCUAUUGUCCAUAUUAAGGUAUGAAUAAGGAAAAUAAGGUAGCUACUAUUAUUACUGUUUUUUUAAACUCGAUAUAAAUAACCUCAAAUACAGUCAUUUUCCAUUAAAAAAAAAAAAAAAAAAAAAA
Non-coding RNA from Anas platyrhynchos (mallard), 3567 nucleotides. NCBI's taxonomy places the organism in Eukaryota, Metazoa, Chordata, Aves, Anseriformes, Anatidae. The record is from RefSeq and is a predicted model, not a curated record.